AGAAGCUAAGACAGAGCCCUGAUGUUGUUGAGCCACCAAAUCAUCCAGACGUCUCCUUCUGGACUUCUAGUCAUGUGAGAUCAGGCAACAACUGUGGUCACCACUUUACAAAAUAGGCAAUACAUUUCAUUAAUAAUCCAAUUGAUAUGUAUUGCCCGGGACAUUGUGUGGGCUGUGGGCCCAGAGAGAAGAGAAGUUUGCUCUCGCUGCCGGACAGCUGCAGCCAGUGUGGGAGAGACACAAUGUGAUGCGGACAGUGCACCUAUACAGAAUAAUACAAGAAAAUAAAGAGCACCGAGAUACCCGCACACAUUAUACGACGGGUGACCUUCAGUGAAAUCUCUUGCUCUCGUGUUAAUAUUCCCAGUACUUUCUGUUCAGCCUAGAAAGAGCCCACGAGUUGUCUCCCACACAAACCAGCCAUGCAGCACAAGUUUGACUUCUAAGAGUUUGUGGCUGCCUUUGAAGUGUGAUUUGAGAGGCUAGGCACUUCUGCCUCCCUCCACUGAUGCCUAAAAUGUAAC
Suricata suricatta (meerkat) is the source of this 524-nucleotide long non-coding RNA. RefSeq lists it as uncharacterized. NCBI's taxonomy places the organism in Eukaryota, Metazoa, Chordata, Mammalia, Carnivora, Herpestidae. The record is from RefSeq and is a predicted model, not a curated record. The transcript is spliced from 3 exons.